GGGUGUUGGUCCAUCUUCCUCUCGUUGGGUGCCUUCUGCCUCAUGAUCUCUGCCAAGGCUCGGGGGUCAUCAUACCCCCCAAUUCGAACAAAUUCCUCCUGAUGUUCGGGCCCACUGCAUUAAGGAGUAUCGAGACUCUGUAGAGUUUAAGAGGGAGGCCAUCGACAUUGCUGCUAGCAGAUUUAUCGAUGGUUUUGAGAACUACAAGGCCCGCUUACUAUGGAUGAUGCUGUUUUUGGAGCUCCAAUCCUUCUAGCUAGGAAACAGUGACGAGGAUGCUUCCUCGUCGGAUGAGGACUGAGCUUCCUCAUCCUUGAGCUGGAGAUCGAGGAGAGCAUCCACUAUCUGAUCGUUGCCAUCAUCCAUGAUGACAAGAGCUUCGAAUUGGGUUCGUUGAUCAGUGGGGAUCUGCUUCUAGAUCGGUGUGACCUUCAUGGCUUUCUUCCAUUUUGCUAUACUUUCUCCCGCUUUUCCUUUCUCCCUUUCUCUUUUUUUUGUAAGGUGGCACUGAGGACGCCAUCCUUCUUCUUGUAAAUAUCAAAAUGACCCU
Molecule: long non-coding RNA, 550 nt
Filed under: Elaeis guineensis (African oil palm)
Lineage: Eukaryota; Viridiplantae; Streptophyta; Magnoliopsida; Arecales; Arecaceae
Description: long non-coding RNA (EGUI_LNC059396)
Source: RNAcentral